Molecule: unclassified non-coding RNA, 232 nt
Filed under: Hevea brasiliensis (rubber tree)
Lineage: Eukaryota; Viridiplantae; Streptophyta; Magnoliopsida; Malpighiales; Euphorbiaceae
Source: RNAcentral
AGUGAUAAUGCCCGAAGAUAUGUCCGACAGCUUCCUCAAUAUCCUAAGCAACAAUUUUCUGCAAGGUUUCCCAGCAUGUCUGCUUUGGCUAUCGAUUUGCUUGAAAAAAUGCUUGUUUUUGACCCAACCCGUCGAAUUACAGUUGAUGAGGCCCUCUGUCACCCAUUUUUGUCAUCUCUUCAUGACCUCAACGAUGAGCCGAUUUGUCCCAGGCCAUUCAGUUUUGAUUUUG